AACUAAUUAGUUUAUAUUUAGAAUAAAUGUCUUCAAAACAUUUGGAGGUUACGCCAUUAGUUG
Molecule: transfer RNA, 63 nt
Filed under: Enterogyrus malmbergi
Lineage: Eukaryota; Metazoa; Platyhelminthes; Monogenea; Dactylogyridea; Ancyrocephalidae
Description: tRNA-Trp
Source: RNAcentral